GUCGGAGUGGCUCAGCUUGGUUAGAGCGCCUGACUCAUAAGCUCAGCUAAAGGGUUCGAAAUUAGUCUUGCGCUAAGAAAUCAGGAGGUCGCGGGCUCAAAUCCCGCCUCCGACA
RNAcentral lists this transfer RNA (115 nucleotides) under marine sediment metagenome. It matches the Rfam family "tRNA". From Rfam's summary of the family: Transfer RNA (tRNA) molecules are approximately 80 nucleotides in length. Their secondary structure includes four short double-helical elements and three loops (D, anti-codon, and T loops). The record is from RNAcentral.